Molecule: long non-coding RNA, 14865 nt
Organism: Homo sapiens (human)
Lineage: Eukaryota; Metazoa; Chordata; Mammalia; Primates; Hominidae
Exons: 7
Source: RefSeq, a predicted model, not a curated record
AGUUUCAACACCAAGUGAAUACCUCUGACAUGGAAAUUAAAGUUUUAACCAAGAGACUCCAAGCUAAGGCUAAUAUUAAGCCAGAAAGAGGAAGUUAUUAAAGGAAUGAGCGGCCGACUCUGGAGCCCAAGCUGUUGCUUCCCAUCUGGUGGUGAGGCCUCCACUGUCUGGUGAGUGCAAUGUCCGAUGCUAGAGCCCAGGCUGUUGCUUCCCACUCUGGUAGUGAAUCCUCCAUAGUCUGCCACCAGAAAACGCUAUGACUUUGGGGAGAGAAAGAGAUCAUGGCUUCCGAACAAGAUAAACAAGCAGUGCAACUGGCCCUGGAUCUAUGACCCAUUUGGGAUGGUCCCGUAGAACUGCAAGUAACUGUCCUAGAUCAACAUGCUAAUUGGAGCCUUAGGCAGAAACAAGAUGGGAAGAGGUACAUUUCUGGUUUUGGACCCAGAAACUGCCAGAGGCCAGCAAAGCUUAUAACCCUUUCGAGGAGCAAUUGUUAGCUUGCUAUUGGGCUUUGCUGGAAACGAAACACCUCUGCUUCAACCAUGAUGUCUUUAUGAGGCUUGAAAUUCCUAUUAUGACUUGGGUCAUGAGUUCCCCCGAAACUCACCAGAUAGGGCACGCCAAGGGGGAGAACUGGGGGAGUUUCCAUUCCGGGAUUUGGGACGUCCCCAAGUUUCCAGCCUUGGGCUCCAGAGUCAGACACCGCACUCUCCAGGCUGGAAGAUUCUCCACCAGGCCAGGAAGCAACAGCAUGGGUUCCAGAGUGGGACACCCGCACUCACCAGACUAUGAAGGACUCACCACCAGACCAAGAAGCAACAGCCUGAGCUCCAGAGUCAGACACCACCCUCAUCAGACUGUGGAGGAUUCACCACCAGACAGGGAAGCAACAGCCUGGGCUCCAGAGUUGGCCACUCGUCCGUGCACAGACGAGGAGAGGUCUCAUGAAGCUUCGGUGCAGUCUGGGACCACAGCUCUUUAGUAACGAGUUGUUUGGCAUAAAGCCCAGUCACAGGGCUCUUCAGGACAGGGCUUAAGGAACACAAAAAGGGCCUGAGGGGCGGGACCUAAAGCAUUAUCCAAUCAGAGACGCUGGGCUGGAAACCGUCCAAUCAGGCACGCAGCUGGAGCGACGAGGACGGCUUUCCGCUUUUGGCGCGGCCUUUGUCUCUAGCUGCAGCCGGCGUUUCAGGUCUCGUCUUCACUGGUCUGUGUCCUAUUCUCCUGGAGGCCCAGCCUCUGUGGCCCUGUGACCUGCAGGUAUUGGGAGAUCCACAGCUAAAACCCCAGGACACCCUGGAAGCAUAGAAAUGUUCUUCAGACAAUCAGUAAAAACAAACUUCUCCAAGCUAAAGGAGGAUGUUCGAAUCCAUCAUAAAGAAGCUGGAAACCUUGAAAAAAGAUUAGAUGAAUGGCUAACUAUAAUAGACAGUGUAGAGAAGACCUUAAAUGACCUGAUAGAGCUGAAAACCAUGGCCCAAAAACUACGUGAUGAAUGCAGAAGCUUGAGUAUCCAAUGUGAUCAACAGGAAGAAAAAGUAUCAGUGAUUGUUAAAAUGAAUGAAAUGAAGCAAGAAGAGAAGUUUAGAGAUAAAAUAAUAAAAAGAAAUGAACAAAGCCUCCAAGAAAUAUGGGACUAUGUGAAAAGACCAAAUCUACGUCUGAUUGGUGUACCUGAAAGUGAUGGGGAGAAUAGAACCAAGUUGGAAAACACUCUGCAGGAUAUUAUCCAGGAGAACUUCCCCAACCUAGCAAGGCAGGCCGACAUUCAAAUUCAGGAAAUACAGAGAACGCCACAAAGAUACUCUUCGAGAAGAGCAACUCCAAGACACAUAAUUGUCAGAUUCACCAAAGUUGAAAUGAAGGAAAAAAUGUUAAGGGCAGCCAGAGAGAAAGGUCGGGUUACCCACAAAGGGAAGCCCAUCAGACUAACAGUGGAUCUCUCGGCAGAAACUCUACAAGCUAGAAGAGAGUGGGGGCCAAUAUUCAACAUUCUUAAAGAAAAGAAUUUUCAACCCAGAAUUUCAUAUCCAGCCAACCUAAGCUUCAUCAGUGAAGGAGAAAUAAAAUCCUUUACGGACAAACAAAUCCUGAGAGAUUUUGUCACCACCAGGCCUGCCUUACAAGAGCUCCUGAAGGAAGCACUAAACAUGGAGAGGAACAACUGGUACCAGUCACUGCAAAAACAUGCCAAAUCGUAAACACCAUCAAUGUUAGGAAGAAACUGCAUCAACUAACAAGUAAAAUAACUAGCUAACAUAAUGACAGGACCAAAUUCACACAUAACAAUAUUAACCUUAAAUGUAAAUGGGCUAAAUGCUCCAAUUAAAAGACACAGACUGGCAAAUUGGAUAAAGGGCCCAGACCCUGGCAGGUGCAGUGGCUCACACCUGUAAUCCCACCACUUUGUGAGGCUGAAGUGGGCAGAUCACGAGGUCAGGAGAUCGAGACUAUCCUGGCUAACACAGUGAAACCCCAUCUCUAGUAAAAAUACAAAAAAUUAGCCAGGCAUGGUGGCAGGCACCUGUAGUCCCAGGCACUUGGGAGGCUGAGGCAGGAGAAUGGCAUGAACCUGGGAGGCAGAGCUUGCAGUGAGCCAAGAUCAUGCCUCUGUACUCCAGCCUGGGCAACAGAGACCCAUCUCAAAAAAAAAAAAAGAGUCAAGACCCACCAGUGUGCUGUAUUCAGGAGAUCCAUCUCAUGUGCAGAGACACACAUAGGCUGAAAAUAAAGGGACGGAGGAAGGUCUCUGAAGCAAAUGGAAAACAAAAAAAAAAAGCAGGGGUUGCAAUCCUAGUCUCUGAGAAAAACAAGACUUUAAACCAACAAAGAUCAUAAAAGACAAAGAAGGCCAUGACAUAAUGGUAAAGGCAUCAAUUCAACAAGAAGAGCUAACUAUACUAAAUAUAUAUGCACCCAAUACAGGAGCACCCAGAUUAAUAAAGAAAGCCCUUAGAGACCUACAAAGAGACUAAGACUCGCACACAAUGAUAAUGGGAGACUUUAACACCCCACUGUCAACAUUAGACAGAUCAAUGAGACAGAAAGUUAACAAGGAUAUCCAGGAAUUGAACUCAGCUCUGCACCAGCCAGACCUAAUAGACAUCUACAGAACUCUCCACCCAAAAUCAACAGAAUAUACAUUCUCAGCACCACAUUGCACUUACUCCAAAAUUGACCACAUAAUUGGAAGUAAAGCACUCCUCAGCAAGUGUAAAAGAACAGAAAGUAUAACAAACUAUCUCUCAGACCACAGUGCAAUCAAACUAGAACUCAGGAUUAAGAAACUCACUCAAAACUGCUCAACUACAUGGAAACUGAACAACCUGCUCCUGAAUGACUACUGGGUACAUAAUGAAAUGAAGGCAGAAAUAAAGAUGUUCUUUGAAACCAAUGAGAACAAAGACAGAACAUAACCAGAAUCUCUGGGACACAUUUAAAGCAGUAUGUAGAGGGAAAUAUAUAGCACUAAAUGUCCACAAGAGAAAGCAGGAAAGAUCUAAAAUUGACACCCUAACAUCACAAUUAAAAGAACUAGAGACGCAAGAGCAAACACAUUCAAAAGCUAGCAGAAGGCAAGAAAAAACUAAGAUCAGAGCUGAUUUUUUUUAAUGGGUUUCAUUGAUGUUAUUGCAGAGGACAUGAUUUUUUUUAAUGGCCAUGGAGUAUUCCAUGAUUAUGUGCCAUAUUUUGUUUUUUACUACAUCUUUUAUUUUAUUUUAUCUUUGGAUGCAGGGUCUCACUUAUUGCCCAGGCUAGAUUACCAUGGUGUGAUUUUGGCUUACUUUAGUCUCAGCCUCCCAGGCUCAAGCAAUUCUCCCUUACCUCAUCUUCUCAAGUAGCUGGGACUACACGUGUGCGUUACUAUGGCUGGCCACUUUUUCUUUUUGUAUUUUCCAUGUAGACAAGAUUUUGCUAUUUUUUUCAGGCUGGUUUCAAACUUCUAAGCUCAGGCAGUCCACCUGCCUUGGCCUUCCAAAGCUCUAGGAUUGAAGGCAUGAGCCACCGCUUCUGACCAUACCAUAUUUUCUUUAUUGAUGGGCAUUUAGGUCCUGUCCAUGUCUUUGCUACUGUGAAUAGUGCUGCAAUGAACAUGCAUAGCAUGCAUAUGGAUGCGUCUUUAUAAUAAUUUAUAUUUCUUUUGGUAUAUACCCAAUUAUCAGGUUCCUGAGUCAAAUGAUAAUUCUGUUUUCAGUUCUGUGAGGAAUUGCCACACUGCUUUUUACAGUUAAACUAAUUUACACUCCCACCAGCAGAGUAUAAGCAUUCUCUUUUCUCUGCAACCUUGGUAGCAUCUGUUAUUUUUUGACUUUUUUAAAAUAGCCAUUCUGACUGAUGUGAAGUGGUAUCUCAUUGUGGUUUUUCUUUUAAUUUAUUUGUUUAUUUUUUUGAGAUGGAGCCUGGCUCUGUCACCCAGGCUGGAGAGCAGUGGCACGAUCUCAGCUCAUUGCAACCUCCACCUCCCAGGUUUAAGUGAUUCUCCUCUAUCAGCCUCCUGACUAGCUGGGACUACAGGUGCCCACCACCAUGCCAGGCUAAUUUUUGUUUUUUUAUUAGAGACAAGGUUUCACCAUAUUGGACAGGCUGGUCUUGAACUCCUCACCUUGUGAUCUGCCUGCUUAAGCCUCCCAAUGUGCUGGGAUUACAGGUGUGAGACACCGUGCCUGGCUUCUUUUUAAUUUCUUUAAUGAUUACCAUUGAGCUUUGUUUUUCAUAUGCUUGUUAGCCACAUGUAUGUCUUCCUUUGAAAAGCAUCUGUUCAUGUUUUUUGCCCACUUUUUAAUGAGGUUUGGUUUUUUCUUGUAAACUUGUUUAAGUUCUCAUUAAUUCUGGAUAUUAGACCUUUGUCAGAGGCAAAGUUUGCAAAUAUUUUCUUUUAUUCUGUAGGUUGUCUGCUUACUCUGUUGAUAGUUUCCUUUGCUGUGAAGAAUCUCUUUAGUUUAAAUAGGUCCCAUUUGUCAGCUUUUGCUUUUGUUGCAAUUGCUUUUGGUAGCUUCAUCAUGAAGUGUUUGCAGGUUUCUAUGUCUAGAAUGGUAGCUUUUAUGUUAUCUUGCAGGGUUUCUUAUAAUUUUAUGUUUUACAUUUAAGUCUUUAAUUUUUCUUGAGUUGAUUUUUGUAUGUGGUGUAAUUAAGGGGUUCAGUUUAAGUGUUCUACAUAUUACUAGUUAGUUAUUCCGGCACCAUUUAUUAAAUAGAGAAUUUUCCCCACAUUUCUUUUGUCAGCUUUGUCAAAAAUCUGAUGGUUGCAAGAGGGUGGCAUUAUUUCUGGGCUCUCUGUUCUGUUGCAUUGGUCUUGUGCACAUGAAUUUUUUAUAACAUCUUUCUCUCUUCUGCUUUUCCCCCCAUAAACAUUUUUUUUUUUUUUUUUUGGAGAGGGAGUUUCGCUAUUGCCAGGCUGAAGUGCAAUGGCAUGAUCUUGGCUCACCACAACCUCCACCUCCUGAGUUGAAGCAAUUCUCCUGCCUCAGCCUCCCAUGUAGUUGAGAUUACAGGCAUAUGCUAUCAUGCCCAGCCAAUUUUGUAUUUUUAGUAGAGACAGGGUUUCUCCUUGCUGGUCAGGCUGGUCUCCAACUCCCAACCUCAGGUGAUCUGCUUGCCUCAACCUCCCAAAGUGCUGGGAUUACAGGUGUUAGCCACCACACCUAGGCUAACAUUCUUUCAAGUGCAUCCUGUUUGCAAAACUUAGAUUACCAAGAGUUCAAAGACUUUUUAAAAAGUUCCAAAAAAAUUUUUCUUAUUCUCUUUUUCCUUAAGGGAUUUAGAUUAUGUGUAGAUAUUUUUCUCUGCUUUCUUGAAAUAUCUGUAAACCAUAUUAACAGUUAAAUAAACUUUGUCUUUUUUUUUUUUUUUUUUUUUACUUUAGAUUAUCUUUUCUAGUACAUCUGAUUUAUUGGUUUAUUUCUAAUUUUAAAAAGUUUGUUUCUCUCCUUUUUAGGACUUUUUUUUUUUUUGGAUGGAGUUUCAGUUUUGUUGCCCAGGCUGGAGUGCAAUGGCAUGAUCUUGACUCACCAAAACCUCCACCUCCCAGGUUCAAGGGAUUCUCUGGCCUCAGCCUCCCGAGUAGUUGGGAUUACAGUCACGUGCCACCAUACCCAACUAAUUUUGUUUUUUUAGUAGAAACGGGGUUUCUCCAUAUUCCUCAGGCUGGUCUCAAAUUCCCAAACUCAAGUGAUCUGCCCGCCUCAGCCUCCCAAAGUGCUGGGAUUACAGGCAUGAACCACCAUGCCUGGCCCAUUUUUAGUCCUUUAAAGUAAACACAAAUGUGUUUAGAUAAAAGCUCAUUUUAAGAGCACACAGAAGCUUAGCAGAAACAUAGGAUUAAAUUUAGCAAUAUGGAAUGAGAAACGCUAAAAGAUACUAAGUUUCUUUGAAAGUAACUUUAUUAUCCAAGGUAAUUAUCCAACAUUUGCAGGCUGAAGUACUUACACAGCAAAAACAAAAAGAGUUCAGUGCAUAAACUGAACAGUAGAGUCUGUAGUUGUACUUGGCUUUCUAUUGAUGACUUCAGAACAAUUAGCAUAGUUAUGUGUAGUGUUUGCAGACACUACACAUAACAAUACAUUCAUAUACAUUAAACAGUUUUCUUUUUCUUUUUUUUUAAUUUUUCUUUGAGACAGAGUCUCACUCUUGCCCAGGCUGGAGUGUAGGGGCGUGUUCUGCUCACUGCAACCACUGGGACCCAGGCUCAAGUGAUUUCUCCUGCCUCAGCCUCCUGAGUAGCUGGGAUUACAGGCACACCCCACCAUGCCUGGCUAAGUUUUUGUAUUUUUAGUAGAGAUGGGGUAUCACCGUGUUGGCCAGCUUGAUUGUGAACUCUUGACCUCAGGUGAUCCACACACCUCAGUCUCCCAAAGUGCUGGGAUUAUAGGCAUGAGCCAUAAACAGUAUUUUUUACAAUAGUAUGAAUAUAAAGCCACAAUACUUACUUUGAAUGAAUCACUUAAAUGGUUAUUUUAAUAUUGUUAUUUACACUUUUGAAAUAUAAACUAUUUUAACUGAAGUAUAGUUAAACUUUUUAACUGCCAUAUACAUUACUACUAGUUUAUUAAAAUUAUUUAUACUUAGAUAUUUAAUCUAAUACCCCAAAAAAUUUACUACCAAAUUGUUACAGUCAAUACUAGUCUGACAUGUUUAUUACUUUAUUCAAUAGGGAUAAUUAUAAGUAAACACAAUUUUAGUAUCUUUUAUUUCACUCAAUUGGAAUGCUGCUAUUACAAAUGAAAUAAAGACAGUUGAUGUGGCCACCCAAAAACCAUGAUAGCUCUUCAGUUAACUAUGUUGGAAGUUCUAAUAUACUCCACAAUGUGAACACAGUCAGAUUCUAUUUCUGCAUCAAAAAGUGUUGUUGGAAGUUGUCAGAUAUAUUUCAAUAUAGAACCCCCAUUCAAUGACUAGGAGAUGAGAGAGCAGCAGAGAUGGGAAAAAAAGCUUUAUAAAAUUCUUCUGAAAUUCUGCCCCCUUUCUUCAUAAUGCUCAUGUUUCUCAUGCUGAGAGUAAUUGUGCACUUUGGGUGGUUAGAGAGAAAUUGCUUUUAGGGGACUAUUUUCUGGCUGACUUGAUCAAUCUUAUAUCUAAACUGAGCUUUUUCUCAAGAUCUUUUUUCUCAAGAUCUUUUUAACUUUUUUCUCUCAAAAUUAUCUUGCUCAGAUGGAGAUCUGUUUUUCUCUCCAAUACUUUGGGUGUCUGUUUCAGAAGCCCUAUUAGUAUCCCAUGGUGUCUGAAUGAGGUAGGCUGUCACAGUGAGAACUUUUGUAGAUAUCUCUAUCUGGACUCAUGCUGGAAAUUCAUCCGAUUUUUUUUCCAUGUCACCAUGAUAAUUAAAAACGGGCUGAAACACUGGUCACAUUCCCAUUAUUGUGAAAGUGCAAUUCUACUCACAAGGCCUGCAGGCUCUCCUGCAGCUCAGGCUUUCCUCUCUGAUGUGACACUAGAGUGCUGCUGUGGGAAAUGUGGUUCACAUAAACUGAGCUGUGCUCAAGGCUGUCCCUCAGUGGCAGAUGAGAGAGGUCAAGAGGACACUAGCAACCAGGAAAAAGCAAGAAAGUGCUGUAGCCCAAUGCCAUGGAACACAGAGCCACUGCUGUAAAAUGUAAAUAGCCAAAAGGAUAGAAUGCUUUUCAACCAUUUUUGUAGCAGAGUGAAAACCUACCUUCAGCAAGUACCUGGCUUCAAGCUGCUAAACUACCUCCUGUUAUGAAGGUGUGAAAAGUUUUUUUGUUAUUGAAUAUAAACAAUUAGCAUAUACAGAUGGCCUCUUCAAUCUCCAUGUGAAUUUAGGAUGAACUAUGUAUGACAUGGUUCUGGAAAUUCUACUUGUGGACUAAUUUUGGUGACCAUCUUUCUGUCUCUGCAGUCUCUUAAGCAGAUUGACUAUGAUGCAUGUCACAUAAAACAGUUUUCUUUCUGUUCUAUUGUGGAGUUUUUCUGGGGCUGGAGAACAUUCUUUUGUUAUUUCCAAACACUGUCUAUAAUUACCAGACAUGAUAUAAACACAUAAGGUGCCAACUGGAAUUUACUCUAGAGGGGACUUUCCCUCUCAGACUUCCAGUCAACUCACACUUGUGCAACAAAGUGCAUGCUGUCCCCUAAAUAUGCAAGCAGAACUGUGUUUCUGCCUAUUUGGUAUCUAUAGUCCUCUACAGUCACUUCUAGAGAGACUAAACCAAAUUUCUACCAACUUCACAGGGCAACAAUCAAUAGUUUUAUCUCAAUGACUCUUGUAUCUUCAGACCUUAAACUGAUUCAGAGACCAUGGGGCCCACAAACCUAAUCAGAGUAACGUUUUCAUUGAGUACACAUUCAGACAUGAGAAUCUUCACUUUCCCCUUUUUUCUCUUGGUAAAAUGUUCACAAAUGUGCAGGUAACACCUGCUGCUACUCCAGCCAUUCGGGCCCUAAAUCUGCAGCUCUACAUUUUGUAUCUAGGUCUUGAGAUUUGGGAAAUAGAAAAUUUUUAUCUAAAAAUGCAAGUCCUUUUGGUUAUCAAACUCAGACAUUGAAAUGAAAGUGCAGUUACGCCUUUCUCCUCCUUUGAAAUAUGUAUUCAUCUCUUGAAACUGUUCACUAUUGCCACAAGUAGAUGUAUAUUAAACUGAUAAUACCACAUUGGACACUGUAUCUCAUACCCUAAACCAUAAUGAUAUAUGUCCAAUCAAUAACCAAUGUUACUUCUUUAAAUAAAAAUUUCUGACAACUCUAUCAGCCCACUCUCUGUCCCUUUGUUUUUGUCUUCACAACUCCUCUUGCAACUGCUGUUAAUGAAAGUGUAGAUUCUAGGCAACUUCAGUCUUUGCUCCCAGGUUAUAAUCCUUAAACUUCACCCAAAUAAACUGUCUACUUACAUUCAUGUUGUGUCAGCUUUUUUUUUUUUUUCAUGUAGGCUUAAUACUUAGAAAGUGCUAGAGCAGCCUCUAUUAGGGGAUCUCUUCUCUGAUUGUACUCCACUUGCUGUAACACCAAAGGAUGCAGAACCAGGUGGGUCCUACCUAGAAUCUGCAGAUAAGGUAUGGCUUCUGCCUGGGGUUUACAAAAAAGGGUCAGACUGUAAGAGUGUCCAGGAGGAAAUAGAAUCUGAUGGUAGAAUCUGUAAGUGUAAAUAAACAUCUUAGGAGUGAGACAUCAAGUCCACAAAAUAGCCAGAGCCAUGUGCACAACUAUAUUUACCUGUAAAAUGUGAUACUGGAGUAGAAUAUUUUCAUUCUUUCUCUUACCCAAAUGCUAGCAAAUCAGAAUGGGUGAUCCAGGUUCUUGAGCUCCACCAAGGCAGUUCCAUUUUCUACUUAGAGUCAGCCUGAGUCUCUCCAGCCUGGCUUAUCAUUGAGUCUCUCCAGCCUGGCUUAUCAUUGAGUCUCUCCAGCCUGGCUUAUUGAGACAUCAGCCCAUGGUCACUGGGAAUUCUCUCACAAUCACCUAGGUGUCUUUGAGGCAUUUGGGAAUAUCCAGAGCAGAGUUGUGUCAGGUUGACAAGAGUGAUUAAUUCUGCUUCUGUCUCGGUGUAAGAGAAAUCAGUCAUCCUGUGUUUUUGUUCAUCCUCUCAUACAAGAGGUAUCUUUGGUUGGUACUCAGAUGAGAGUUUAUCCAGUUUUCUGGUACUUGGAUGAUAAAUAAGGAGACCUGGAGACCCAAAUAGAUAAACUCAUUACUUCCAUUUUAUAUGGCCAUUAAAAAAAUACAUGAAGCAGUCAUUGUUCCUACAAUCCAGAAACUUUUAGUCUAGACUAGCAACUUCAUGAAUAAUUGAAUUAUGCAUCAUAUGGUUGGUGGAAUAUAUAGAUGUGUCCAAAGUCUUGGGCUUUAUUUAUGCCACUUUAUGCUGUUGUGACUUCUGAUAUCUACACCUGAAUAUAUUUAUGAACCGAACAAUUAUUAUAGUUUUGUUGUUUUUUUUUUAGACAGAAUCUCAGUUCCCCAGGCUGGAGUGCAGUGGCACGAUCUUGGCUUACUGUAAUUUCUGCCACUCGGGUUCAAGCCAUUCUCCUGCCUCAGCCUCCCAAGUAGCUGAGAUUACUGGCCACAGCCACGAUGCCCAGCUAAUUUUUGUAUUUUUAGUAGAGGCAAGGUUUCACCAUCUUGGUCAGGCUGGUCUUGAACUCCUGCCCUCAUGAUCCACCCACCUCAGCCUUUCAAAGUGCUGGAAUUGUGGGACUUAGCCACUGCACCCAGCCGUAUAGUUUCUAUUUCUUUUACCUUGCUAACUGUACAUAUUUAUUUUCCAAUAAAAUUACCCUAGGAAACCUGAAGGGAUUUCUUUAAAUUGCAUAUUAGUAUAUAGUAUAAAGUUGACAGGGCCGUGGCUAGAAAAUAUUAAAAUUACAGAAACUCUGGGAUUUAAGUUUCUUUUAGGUAGGCUUAGAAAAACAAAACUGGAAGUAUCCCAGUGGCAUAGAGAACAGAAUUCUACAAAGGAUCCUCACUCUGCCCCAGACCUGUUCAGAUUCACCUUUUUUGGAGGCUUUAUGUAGGUCCAGACCUACCCUGGAGUCUUGCCUCACAGAACUGAUUGGCAGAGAUCAGUUUUGGCUGGUGAAUCCUGCAGUAUUUCUAGAGCUGCUGCUCACAAUUUCCUGAAAUCCAAAAGCAGAUAAAUACAAAAAAAUAAAGUAUGUAUUUGAGGGUCUUCAUUUUUAAAUUUUCUUUUUUUUUUUUUUUUUUUUUGAGACGGAGUCUCACUCCGUUGCCCAGGCUGGAGUGCAGUGGCGCGAUCUCGGCUCACUGCAAGCUCUGCCUCCCGGGUUCAUGCCAUUCUCCUGCCUCAACCUCCGAGUAGCUGGGACUACAGGCGCUCGCCACCACGCCCAGCUAAUUUUUUGUAUUUUUAGUAGAGAUGGGGUUUCACCACGUUAGCCAGGAUGGUCUCGAUCUCCUGACCUCGUGAUCCGCCCGCCUCUGCCUCCCAAAGUGCUGGGAUUACAAGCAUGAGCCACCGCACCCAGCCGUUUUUUAAUUUUCUAUGAAAACCAUUGGAUGCAGAGACAUUCUAUUUAGCAACUUGUUUCUUAUUCCCGCAGAUCCAGUAGUUGCUCCGUAAGUCAAAAAAAAGUAAAUACAAACAGAAUAAAAUUUUCUCUAAACUAACCUCUUCCUUUUUAUGUCUCAUUCAUCUGUCUAUACUUAGCUUUUAUUCUAUACAAUUUUUAAAAAUUUUUGAUGACAGAAAAACAAGAAAUUAAAAUGCUUGGCUCUUUUUCUAAAUCCUGGUAAUUACCUUCUGUUUCUUCUGUAAACUUUAAAGAGCCAGCAAAGAAUAUAAAACUUUAGGAUGGAGAUGAGUUGUCCUUAUUUGUACCAGAGUUAUCUGAUUGUGACAACAGUGCUAAGUGUAAGGGACCCUGUGGUUUGCCUGCUUUUCUAACUAAUGUUAAUAAUGAGCCAAGGAGGAGUAACAUCAGCAUUGACAGGGGACUUGUUUAAAACACUGAUUCACAGACCCUUUUCAAACCUGCAGAAUCACAUUACUUAAAGUGUGGCCAGAAUUACCAAGUGAAUUAUAAGCUCAUUAAAGCUUGAGAGGCAAUGCUUAGCUUAGUGGUUAUCAGCCCAGGCUUCUCAUUAGGAUCACAUGGCCAAUAUGCAGAAAUCUCUUGUACCCUCACCACAGCUUCUGUUUAUUAUUCUGGUUGAAAACAUCCAUGUUGUUUUAAUGAAGGGCCUCAUGUGACUCUAAGGUGAGGCCAGAAUCAGGUAUGAGGCCUUCAAAAUAUAUUCAUGAGAAUUAAGUUCCACUUUUGGACUAAAGGGUAGCCACAGGGCCUGUUCUGUUUUGGCUUGGUAUGGACAGGUCAGAGUGGUGUAUAUUUGUAUUACUGUAUGAAGCAGGUACUAUGUGCUCAAGAUUGUGAUACAGAGAACUCUGCUGGGCAUAAUACAUUAUAUAAUUUAAUCCUCAUAACACCCUGGGAGCUGGUACUAAGGAUUUAAUACUAAUUUCCAGGAUUUAGAAAAAGGGCCCAGCAUUUUAAUUUCUUCUCUUUUUCUCUGCAGGUUCUGUAGCAGAAAUUGCUGGUGUCUGUGGCAGGGGAGGGCACCUGAGGACAGGGAAGAAGAAACAUAUUUUUAUCUUUAUGGAGCAGCACAUUGUUCCCAAAUACCUUCUGCUUUAAGGGACAGAAAUGGAUGGACUUUUUCUGUCUUUUCUGCCAGUUGAUGUCAUGCUUGCAGGGACCAUUGCAGUUUAGAGACGUGGCCAUAGAAUUCUCUCUGGAGGAGUGGCAUUGCCUGGACACUGCACAGCGGAAUUUAUAUAGGGAUGUGAAGUUUCAGAACUACAGAAACUUGGUCUUCCUUUAGAUUAUAUUUUCUUCCAUCUUCCGCAUCCUCCUGUUCUUCAGCCAAUAAAUGAAAAAAGAUACAGAGAAGACACAUUUGCUUUUUAUCCACUGCACUUCCACUCACUAUUAGUCAAUGUGGUUACAGCUGAGAAUAGCAGUUUUCUGGCAGGGCAGCCACUUCUCAGCAAUAAACAGCACACUGAAAAAAAAGGAUAAAUCCUUCAUAAAAAGCUAAUGAACUUUUUUUUUCCUGGAAACUUUAAAAUCCCUCAAAAACUGUUUAUUAUACAGGUGAAUUUUGAUAGUCAUGAUGGGCUUAUCGGUAGGAUUUCUGGUAGCAAGCACGGGCACCAGGACCUCCAAACUUUUUGGACUUGCAGCGACGGGGAUCAGCUACCAGCAGGGUCCGGUCAUACUGGAUGAGGAUGUCUUUGAUCUCCUUCUUGGAAGCCUCAUCCACAUAUUUCUGGUAAUAGGCCACCAGGGCUUUGGAGGUGGACUGACGGAUAGCAUAAAUCUGGGCCACAUGAGCACCACCCUUCACACGGACACGGAUGUCCACACCAGCAAAUCGCUCCUUGCCAAGAAGCAGAACUGGCUCCAGCAGCUCGUAUUGUAGCAUGCGCGGCUCAGUCAUCUCCAGGGGCUGCCCGUUCACCUUGAUGAGACCAUUGCCGCGUCUGCAGUGCGCCACAGCUGUGGCUGUCUUCUUGCGUCCGAAGACUUGCACCGAUUGCAGCGGGCCCUUGGACGGCAUGGCUGCGAGCGUGGACUAGAGAACCUCACCGCGCGGCGCUGCAACCGGAAAAGGCAAAAAGCUAAUGAACUUUAAGAAAAACAGGCAUAUGCAUCACUAAUGCUUGCGGUAAAAUAAAGAUUCAUUUUGUUGAUUGCUAUUGAGCUCUGGUACUAUUUAACCAAAAGCUAGCAAAUAUACAGCCGACAAAACAUGUUAUUUUAAAUAGGAAUACUGUGAAUGGUUAUUUUGUCAAUAUAAUUAAGAAUAUGACAUCACACUAAUAGUCUCACUUAUAGUUGUAUAACAUCAAAUGCUAUUUUUAAUUAAAAAUUUCAUAUAAGUAUUCAAUUUAUGUCACCCUCCUUUGCUAUUUCAAAGCCUUCUCCACUUUGUAUGAGUGGAAAACAGGCCAGCAGUUCCCAGGAAAGCACGUGGCGCUAUUGCUACUUUAACAAUGAUCGUGAAGAGCAUUUGUUUCGGUGCGACUCGUGUCAAACACUGUUCAAAUAUGUUUUAUGGGAUUUCAUUGACAUUUAAGUGUCUAAAUUAUCUGGAAUUUAACAUUUUUCAUGAACCUAAAUUGAAUAAUCUUUUACUAAAAGCUUUUCCGAGGCAGAGAAAGAUUUAUAUCAUUUUAUUAUCAUAUGGAAGAAGUGUGUUAACCAUGUUUUCAGUAAUCACUCUGAACACAGCAUUCUCAGCUCCCAGUAUGCAUCCUUAGUCACUCAGGGGAAACUGGUUUCUCUGUGAAGAGGUAGAAGAAAAUGCUGAGUGGAGGCACCACACUGCACAGCAAUGCUUUCCACAUGCACCUAUGAGGGUCUUCAUUUAAUUGGGCUGUUAUUUGCAUGGCUAGAUACUUACUGAAUUUAGUCAUACUAUUUUUUAGCAGCUAAUGGCAUCUGUUACCCAUUAAUUUUAUACAUUUGCUUUUUGAAAAACAAAUCUUUUGUUAAUUUACUCUAAUUGAGACUACAUUUACAAUCUUCAAUUUUUCAAUGUUAAAGCAAAUCAGAGAAGAGCAAUGUGUGUAUAUAGUGUGCAUUUUCCUGCCUAUCAAAGUUUUCCCUUCAUUGCAUUGGAAACCCAAGGAAGCCACCUAUAAAAUACUCCCAUUCAACACUUUGGCCUGGAUUUUAGAUUUCAGAAGGUCAAAAACAAUGACUGAGCAAAGCCAAAAUCUUGUUUUUGUUUCUUGUUAGUAAUCUGGCCAUUUCCAAAAGCAUAGCAAUUACGCCAAGCCAUUGAAAAGAUGUGGUUUUUAUUAAUUUUGUCCGUUUCCAAUGUUUUAUCUAUUUGUUACUUUUAUCACGUUAAUUAUUUAAAAUAAACUACAUAACCAAUCAUGCAUUCAAGAAA